Molecule: long non-coding RNA, 291 nt
Organism: Haliotis rufescens (red abalone)
Lineage: Eukaryota; Metazoa; Mollusca; Gastropoda; Lepetellida; Haliotidae
Exons: 3
Source: RefSeq, a predicted model, not a curated record
GUGAAGACUGUCAGUCAGAUCGAGACGCACUGUCCUGUUCGAGUUUACUUUUGUGAAUGUGUCCUUUUUAUUGAAAAUCACGUCGAGACAGGAUCAACAUGAGUGAAUGAAUGGAGUUCACUGGAAGAAGAAACAGUCUCGGAGUACGCAUCCUCCUUGGUAUACUUUUGAAUCAAGUUUCGAAAAGUACGUAGAAAAGAAAAACAAUUAUAUUUCGACUCAUUGCAUCAAAUACCUGUUCGGAAUAAACAUUGUUUUGUGUGAUAGGUAGUUUACGUGCAGUAAGCGAUA